GGAGGGGGAUAACUACUGGAAACGGUAGCUAAUACCGCAUAACGUCGCAAGACCAAAGAGGGGGACCUUCGGGCCUCUUGCCAUCGGAUGUGCCCAGAUGGGAUUAGCUUGUAGGUGAGGUAACGGCUCACCUAGGCGACGAUCCCUAGCUGGUCUGAGAGGAUGACCAGCCACACUGGAACUGAGACACGGUCCAGACUCCUACGGGAGGCAGCAGUGGGGAAUAUUGCACAAUGGGCGCAAGCCUGAUGCAGCCAUGCCGCGUGUAUGAAGAAGGCCUUCGGGUUGUAAAGUACUUUCAGCGGGGAGGAAGGGAGUGAGGUUAAUAACCUCAUUCAUUGACGUUACCCGCAGAAGAAGCACCGGCUAACUCCGUGCCAGCAGCCGCGGUAAUACGGAGGGUGCGAGCGUUAAUCGGAAUUACUGGGCGUAAAGCGCACGCAGGCGGUCUGUCAAGUCGGAUGUGAAAUCCCCGGGCUCAACCUGGGAACUGCAUUCGAAACUGGCAGGCUGGAGUCUUGUAGAGGGGGGUAGAAUUCCAGGUGUAGCGGUGAAAUGCGUAGAGAUCUGGAGGAAUACCGGUGGCGAAGGCGGCCCCCUGGACAAAGACUGACGCUCAGGUGCGAAAGCGUGGGGAGCAAACAGGAUUAGAUACCCUGGUAGUCCACGCUGUAAACGAUGUCGACGUGGAGGUUGUUCCCUUGAGGAGUGGCUUCCGGGGCUA
Molecule: ribosomal RNA, 724 nt
Filed under: uncultured bacterium
Lineage: Bacteria
Description: bacterial SSU rRNA
Rfam family: Bacterial small subunit ribosomal RNA
Source: RNAcentral